CUUUUUCUGUACAGGCAGUCCAGUUAUGGAAUGCGUUGCCACUCAACAUCAAAAAAGCACAAUCACUUAUCUCCUUUAAAAAGUUAGAAAGAGGAGGCAG
Molecule: long non-coding RNA, 100 nt
Organism: Melitaea cinxia (Glanville fritillary)
Lineage: Eukaryota; Metazoa; Arthropoda; Insecta; Lepidoptera; Nymphalidae
Exons: 3
Source: RefSeq, a predicted model, not a curated record